GCUGGUGUGGCUCAAUGGCAGAGCACAUCACUCGUAAUGAUGGGGUUGUGGGUUCGAUUCCCACCACCAGCUCCA
This 75-nucleotide transfer RNA is filed under the name Flavonifractor plautii. Its description in RNAcentral is "tRNA-Thr". It matches the Rfam family "tRNA". From Rfam's summary of the family: Transfer RNA (tRNA) molecules are approximately 80 nucleotides in length. Their secondary structure includes four short double-helical elements and three loops (D, anti-codon, and T loops). RNAcentral also lists the same sequence under 4 other names. Lineage: Bacteria; Bacillati; Bacillota; Clostridia; Eubacteriales; Oscillospiraceae. The record is from RNAcentral.